GAGUGCAAACUGGCUGGGUAUAAAAGAUAUCACAAAACAAACCAAAAUAGCGGAGUGGCGGAGAAGACCUUUCUUAGGAGACCGUUAGCCCCCUACAACAUUACUUAUCCCAACGUUGUAGACAGAAAAGACUGGAAAUUUUGAGAAUACAUUUUGGAUUCUGGUGAUUGUUUCCAGAAGAGCAACGUCAAAGGGUUCAUAUAACUCAGAGCGACAAAGGGACACCACUGCUAAUCUGACGAUUAAUAUAAACUGAAGCUUUCAAGCGUGCUGGAUGAUACAGAAAGUGAAAUGAACGUACCAAAGGCGACAUAGAUGAAUUUGGAAGACAGGCAAACAACAACUGCACAUGGUACCACGAUACAAUCAUGACUAUUCACGGCUGAAAUAUCAGACUCAGAAAUUAUAUUCUUGGACGCAAAAGUGUGCGAAAGAGAGAGGUUUAACAAGGAAUCGACCCUUAUUCCAAAAGCAUUACAAAGAUACGGAGACCUUCGAAUGCUUGAAUUUACAUUCGUGUCAUUCGUUAGGCGCAAAGAAAGGAUUCGUAAGAAUAAAUUCGUAACGCUUAAAGAAGAGGCGAUACCAAGAUGAGAUUUUUAAGAAACGUUUCUCUGAAUUUAAUUUCACCAUGAGAGAAAGGUCGCUCCAAAUCUUACAAGGGAUUAGGCUUUCGCUUGAUCAAAAAAAGUUUCCCCGUCUAACGGUCACCUUGACAAGUAUUGCUGGAUGUUACUUUGAAAUCACUAUGAUUUUAACGAGUAUUUCCGAAGUUAUUCGGUGGACGAUUAAAUUGUGAUGCAUACUUCCUUACGAAGAAUUGUCUUUCGUUAGUUUGUUUUCAGUUUCUGUUAACUGAAAUAUCCUUUUUGCCCGCGAAUGCUCGAUGGCCAGUAGGUAGUGGGUAAGUAUUAUCUGACAAUGUGCGGAGCCUGAUAAUUCUAGCAAUCCGUUGUGAAUAUUUUUUAACUUAAAUCAUCUGACCAGUUUUUGAGGUUAAUGUUGUUACUUUGAAUGGAGAUAAUUCUAAGUGAUGAAAAUAAAAUCUCCAACACACAGAACA
This is a long non-coding RNA of Stylophora pistillata, 1063 nucleotides long. Lineage: Eukaryota; Metazoa; Cnidaria; Anthozoa; Scleractinia; Pocilloporidae. The record is from RefSeq and is a predicted model, not a curated record.